AACGAACGCUGGCGGCAUGCCUAACACAUGCAAGUCGAACGAGACCUUCGGGUCUAGUGGCGCACGGGUGCGUAACGCGUGGGAACCUGCCCUUAGGUUCGGAAUAACUCCCCGAAAGGGGUGCUAAUACCGGAUAAUGUCUUCGGACCAAAGAUUUAUCGCCUUUGGAUGGGCCCGCGUUGGAUUAGCUAGUUGGUAGGGUAAAAGCCUACCAAGGCGACGAUCCAUAGCUGGUCUGAGAGGAUGAUCAGCCACACUGGGACUGAGACACGGCCCAGACUCCUACGGGAGGCAGCAGUGGGGAAUAUUGGACAAUGGGCGAAAGCCUGAUCCAGCAAUGCCGCGUGAGUGAUGAAGGCCUUAGGGUUGUAAAGCUCUUUUACCCGGGAUGAUAAUGACAGUACCGGGAGAGUAAGCUCCGGCUAACUCUGUG
RNAcentral lists this ribosomal RNA (433 nucleotides) under uncultured bacterium. RNAcentral describes it as "partial 16S ribosomal RNA". It matches the Rfam family "Bacterial small subunit ribosomal RNA", at positions 29 to 507 of the family's 1533-position model. The record is from RNAcentral.